This 598-nucleotide ribosomal RNA is filed under the name uncultured bacterium. Its description in RNAcentral is "bacterial SSU rRNA". It matches the Rfam family "Bacterial small subunit ribosomal RNA", at positions 69 to 662 of the family's 1533-position model. The record is from RNAcentral.
GCAGCGCGGGCUUCGGCCUGGCGGCGAGUGGCGGACGGGUGAGUAAUGCUUGGGAAUCUGCCCAGUAGUGGGGGACAACCCGGGGAAACCCGGGCUAAUACCGCAUACGUCCUACGGGAGAAAGCGGGGGAUCUUCGGACCUCGCGCUAUUGGAUGAGCCCAAGUCGGAUUAGCUAGUUGGUAGGGUAACGGCCUACCAAGGCGACGAUCCGUAGCUGGUCUGAGAGGACGAUCAGCCACACCGGAACUGAGACACGGUCCGGACUCCUACGGGAGGCAGCAGUGGGGAAUAUUGGACAAUGGGCGCAAGCCUGAUCCAGCAAUGCCGCGUGUGUGAAGAAGGCCUGCAGGUUGUAAAGCACUUUCAGCAGGGAAGAACAGCGUGGGGCUAAUAUCCCCGCGUCCUGACGUCACCUGCAGAAGAAGCACCGGCUAACUCCGUGCCAGCAGCCGCGGUAAUACGGAGGGUGCGAGCGUUAAUCGGAAUUACUGGGCGUAAAGCGCACGUAGGCGGCUUGGUAAGUCGAAUGUGAAAGCCCCGGGCUUAACCUGGGAACUGCAUCCGAAACUGCCUGGCUGGAGUAAGGGAGAGGGAAGC